GAAAUGCGAUACGUCAUGCGAAUUGCAGAAACUUGUGAGUCAUCAAAAUUUUGAACGCAACUUGCACUUCCCUCUGGGGAGUAUGUCUGUUGGAGUGUCUGUUCAUCCCCACUUCUCCGCCCUUGCGGGUGCGAGAGAGCGCCGGCCACUUGCUGCACUCCAGACUUGUUCUGGCGAUGGGCAAGCGAGCCUAGAUGAGACACCACCGAUCAACCGAACUCGCCCCUGCUUCGGGCCCAGCUGUAACAGGCUGGGUCUCAACAGCUCGGUCGACGCGACGUGAAAGCUUGCUCUCGCAGCAGCUCCCAUAACGCGUCUUCACUCCAAACGAGCCCAGCAAGCCCCGGCACCCAAAGAGUUCAUCCGACCGGACCUCCAAUCAGGCAAGAUUACCCGCUGA
This 400-nucleotide unclassified non-coding RNA is filed under the name uncultured fungus. Its description in RNAcentral is "sequence contains ITS1". The stretch from base 1 to 100 matches the Rfam family "5.8S ribosomal RNA", at positions 50 to 154 of the family's 154-position model. The record is from RNAcentral. Lineage: Eukaryota; Fungi.